Molecule: ribosomal RNA, 388 nt
Filed under: uncultured bacterium
Lineage: Bacteria
Description: bacterial SSU rRNA
Rfam family: Bacterial small subunit ribosomal RNA
Source: RNAcentral
AUUGAACGCUGGCGGCAUGCUUUACACAUGCAAGUCGAACGGCAGCACGGGGGCAACCCUGGUGGCGAGUGGCGAACGGGUGAGUAAUAUAUCGGAACGUACCCGGAAAUGGGGGAUAACGUAGCGAAAGUUACGCUAAUACCGCAUAUGCCCUAAGGGGGAAAGCGGGGGAUUCGCAAGAACCUCGCGUUUUCGGAGCGGCCGAUAUCGGAUUAGCUAGUAGGUGAGGUAAAGGCUCACCUAGGCGACGAUCCGUAGCUGGUCUGAGAGGACGACCAGCCACACUGGAACUGAGACACGGUCCAGACUCCUACGGAGGCAGCAGUGGGGAAUUUUGGACAAUGGGCGCAAGCCUGAUCCAGCCAUGCCGCGUGAGUGAAGAAGGCCU